GUGACGCAUCUGGCUGCAAUUUCAUGUUUACAUGGAAAGAUGUUGGUGAUAAGAUAGAGAUGGCGUUGGAAAUGGUUUUUGGUAAUGAAUUAAAUAAAUGGACGGCAAUAGCUUUAUCUGACGAUAUAUUAAUGGGUGAUGACAGUGUUAUUGAAUGCGUGUCUGUAGAUGGUAAUGUGAAAGCCUUUCAGUCGUUUAAUGAUAAAACUGCCAAACGAAACAGGCGACUUGAAAAUCCUAAUAUUGGUAUGGUUCUUCAAUCAGCUAGUUUUGAAGAUGGUGUAUUAAAGUGCAAGUUAACACGAGAGAAGAGCGUGAAGGGAAAUGACAAGGUCUUUGAUCUAAAUGACGAUUGGUAUUUGUUGGCUACUUAUGGAAAUUCCCGUGCAGAUUUCGGAAUAAGCGACCAUGUUGAUUCUCUGACAUGGUCAACAGAUGGCCCUAUUGAUAUUCAGAAAGUCUCUGAUAAUGGAAUGGUUACGACUAAAUAUCCACUUAUGAAAGCUCAUGGAAUUCUUAUGGUCAUAUCCUGGAUGGUUAGUGCAGCAAUUGGGUUGAUAACAGCUCGGUAUUUGAAACCUUUCUGGCCGAACUCAUCUCUUGGUGGUCAGAAGGUAUGGAUUCAGAUUCAUCGUUGGAGUAUGGUUUUAACAUUAUUGAUUUCGUCAAUUGGUUUUAUUUUGGUAUUUAUCGAUAAUAAAGGUUACAGCCAAAUUAUUGGCGACAAUUACAAGAAAGCUCAUCCUAUAAUUGGAAUAAUAGUGACUAUUAUGGUUUACGGAAAUGCUUUUAUGUCGUACUUUAGGACUGGUCCAGGCACUCCGUACAGACCAUUGUUUAACAGGGCUCAUUUUGCUGUUGGCACCGGCUCUUAUGUCCUAGCAGUUAUUUGCAUAUUUUUUGGUGUCCAGUUAAGCAAGUUGGAGCUACCAGAAUCAAGUCUACAUAUUUUGACAGCGUAUGCUGUGUGGGUAUCUCUAGCCUAUAUACUAAUGGAACUAAUCCCAUAUAUCCCAAGACAUGAUAGUCAAGCUAUAGACUUAGAGAUGACUGCGGUCGAUGCUCCGGAAAAAACAAAGACAAAGCCAAACCCUUCCCCUACCACUAAUAUUGGAAUAAAGAAAUUCGUCCUAUUCGUCCAUAUUAUGGCUGUACUUGGGUUGUCCAUUGCCCUCAUAUGUCUGAUAGUCGUGAACUAAUCUGAUGUUACACUCCGUAGCUCAUGCUAAGAUGGCAUAGUUGCUUUGGAUUUAAAGCAAUCAACCAGAACAGACAGCAAUACCAACAAGAACACUAACACGUUUUGUACAGAUUAACUUAUCUUCCAAACAAAAUUUUCGUACGUAAGAAGCCACUUGAUAUUCAACACAGUCUGUUUCUUGUGGACUGUUUAACAAAUAAUCGGGAUUUCGAAAAUUUUGCAGUGCGACCUUUACUUUACAGAAAUACACAUCAGUGCGGUAUUAUAACAACCGAUUAUUGUUAAAUCUCAAACAAGAGUUCAGGCUUAGAGUUAUUUCUAAUCCACACAAAACCCUAUAGUAUACAUUUUGUAGCAAACUUCAUUGGUUCAAGUGAAAUUUGGUGAAAUUCACCCUCAAAAGAUUUGAUAUUUCCAGCACCACUUUUAACUCAUUAUCUGUACUUGGUGUUUUAGUAGCUCAUCCUUAGAUGGUAUAGUUACGUAUUUUAAGGUAAAUAUGUCUGUUCACAAACUGAGCUCAUACUUAGAAGGUAUAGCUCAUAACUUAAUUAAGAUCGAGAUCUAGUUUAAAGCUCAUACUUAGACGGUAUAGCUUUUUACACAUAAAAGAUCUGAUACGUAUUGAGAGCUCAUACUUAGAUGGUAUAGCCACUGAGAUGGAAUUUGUGAGUCUGUAGUAAGCUCAUACUUAGACGGUAUAGCUUUGCGGAAAAUUGUAGCUCAUACGUUAGAGACCGAAUUUUUGAGUCCGUAGUAAGCUCAUAAUUAGGCGGUAUGGCUCAUACUUUAGAUGGUAUAGUGACAAAAGGGGUGGAAUUUGUUGUAAGUUAUACUUACAUGUAGACGAUGUAGCUUUCCGGAAAACGGAGGCUCAGAUGGUAUAGCGACUGGGGGAGGAGUUUGUGGGUCUAAAUAGUAAGUUCAUACUUAGACGGUAUAGCUUUGCGCAAAACUGGAGCUAAUACUGUAUCUAGAUGAAUUUGUGAAUCUGCAGUAAGCUUAUAAUACUUAAAAAGGUUUAGCUUGAAGCCCACACAUUAGAGACGGAAUUUGUGAGACUGUAUUAGGCUCAUUAGACGGUAUAGCUUUGUGGAAAACUGAAAUUCAAACUUUAGACUGUAUAGCUUCAGCAUCUAAAAGACCCAAACUGGGAUCCAAUAGUAAAUGCGGGAGGACCGCACUGUAUAUAGCAAUUAACUCGAAAUAUAUUAGUAGAUAAUUACGCGAACAAAUUCGGAAAAAAAGAUCUCCACACAACUGGGACUCAUAUUACAGCGACAAGGAAUACAAUGUAACUUCAUUUAAAUGUACCAAAAAAACCCAACAAUUAAAUGUGUGUCGAGCUAAAUUUUAA
Molecule: RNA transcript, 2558 nt
Organism: Patella vulgata (common limpet)
Lineage: Eukaryota; Metazoa; Mollusca; Gastropoda; Patellidae
Exons: 11
Source: RefSeq, a predicted model, not a curated record